Ribosomal RNA from Monodelphis domestica (gray short-tailed opossum), 468 nucleotides. It matches the Rfam family "Eukaryotic large subunit ribosomal RNA", at positions 957 to 1389 of the family's 3401-position model. The record is from Rfam. Lineage: Eukaryota; Metazoa; Chordata; Mammalia; Didelphimorphia; Didelphidae.
CCCUCCAAAGUUUCCCUCAGGAUAGCUGGCGCUCUCGCAGUGGUCGUCUGGUUCGGCAGGGGCCUCCCCUCCCUCAGGGGGCAGGGGUUCCCCUGGCACCUGCUGCCACACAGUUUUAUCCAGUCAAGCGAAUGAUUAGAGGUCUUGGGGCCGAAACAAUCUCCACCUAUUAUCAAACUUUAAAUGGGUAAGAAGCCUGGCCCGCUGACUUGGAGCUGGGCGUGGAAUGUGAAUGCCUAGUGGGCCACUUUUGGUAAGCAGAACUGGCGCUCCAGGAUGAACCGAACGCUGGUUAAGGCACCCGAUGCUGACGCUCAUCAGAACCCAGAAAAGGUGUUGGUUGACAUAAACAUCUGAUCCAAUCAGCAAAUAUUUAUGGAUACCUAAGAUGGUCUAGGCAUUAUGUAGAGCAUAAAGAAGUAUAAGACCCUCUGCCCUCAAGAAGAUUAAGCCUGAGGUGGAGGGGGG